This 123-nucleotide ribosomal RNA is filed under the name uncultured eukaryote. RNAcentral describes it as "partial 18S ribosomal RNA". The record is from RNAcentral.
UGGUGGAGCGAUUUGUCUGGUUAAUUCCGAUAACGAACGAGACUCUAGCCUGCUAAAUAGACGGGCGAUCCCUUGUGGGUCGAUCCGAUUUGCUUCCUAGCCACGCGAAAUUGAGCAAUAACA